Molecule: ribosomal RNA, 494 nt
Filed under: uncultured bacterium
Lineage: Bacteria
Description: bacterial SSU rRNA
Rfam family: Bacterial small subunit ribosomal RNA
Source: RNAcentral
GAUCAUGGCUCAGAACGAACGCUGGUGGCGUGUCUUAUACAUGCAAGUCGAGCGAGGCAGCAAUGCCGAGCGGCGAACGGGUGAGUAACGCGUAGGCAAUCUGCCCCAUAUCAGGAAAUACCCGUGCCAACGCGCGGUUAAAUGUCCAGGAGAGUGGCCCUCUGCAUGGAGGGUUGAACUAGAGAUUUAUCGGUAUGGGAUGAGCUUGCGUCCGAUUAGCUAGUUGGCGGGGCAACGGCCCACCAAGGCGACGAUCGGUAGCCGGCCUGAGAGGGUGAUCGGCCACAUUGGGACUGAGAUACGGCCCAGACUCCUACGGGAGGCAGCAGUAGGGAAUAUUGCACAAUGGGGGAAACCCUGAUGCAGCAACGCCACGUGUUGGGAAGAAGCAUUUCGGUGUGUAAACCACUGUCAUGAGGGAAUAAGGCCUGUCUUCGGGCAGGAUUGAAUGUACCUUGAGAGGAAGCACCGGCAAACUUCGUGCCAGCCGCCGC